AACGAACGCUGGCGGCAGGCUUAACACAUGCAAGUCGAGCGCCCCGCAAGGGGAGCGGCAGACGGGUGAGUAACGCGUGGGAACGUACCCUUAUCUUCGGGCUAGCUCCGGGAAACUGGAAUUAAUACCGAAUGUGCCCUUUGGGGGAAAGAUUUAUCGGAUAAGGAUCGGCCCGCGUUGGAUUAGCUAGUUGGUGGGGUAAAGGCCUAGCAAGGCGACGAUCCAUAGCUGGUCUGAGAGGAUGAUCAGCCACAUUGGGACUGAGACACGGCCCAAACUCCUACGGGAAGCAGCAGUGGGGAAUAUUGGACAAUGGGCGCAAGCCUGAUCCAGCCAUGCCGCGGGAGUGAUGAAGGCCUUAGGGUUGUAAAGCUCUUUCACCGGAGAAGAUAAUGACGGUAUCCGGAGAAGAAGCCCCGGCUAACUUCGUG
Molecule: ribosomal RNA, 431 nt
Filed under: uncultured bacterium
Lineage: Bacteria
Description: partial 16S ribosomal RNA
Rfam family: Bacterial small subunit ribosomal RNA
Source: RNAcentral